RNAcentral lists this unclassified non-coding RNA (242 nucleotides) under plant metagenome. Its description in RNAcentral is "partial contains small subunit ribosomal RNA, internal transcribed spacer 1, and 5.8S ribosomal RNA". The stretch from base 1 to 54 matches the Rfam family "Eukaryotic small subunit ribosomal RNA", at positions 1778 to 1831 of the family's 1831-position model. The record is from RNAcentral.
GGAAGUAAAAGUCGUAACAAGAUUUCCGUAGGUGAACCUGCGGAAGGAUCAUUACAGAGUUCAUGCCCUCACGGGUAGAUCUCCCACCCUUGAAUAUUUAUACCUUAGUUGCUUUGGUAGGCCGUGGAAACACCAUGGGCUCCGGCUUAUGCGUGCCUGCCAGAGGAAACAAACUCUGUUUUUAGUGAUGUCUGAGUACUAUAUAAUAGUUAAAACUUUCAACAACGGAUCUCUUGGUUCUG